GACGAACGCUGGCGGCGUGCUUAACACAUGCAAGUCGAACGAUGAAGCCGGAGCUUGCUCUGGUGAAUUAGUGGCGAACGGGUGAGUAACACGUGAGUAACCUGCCCUUGACUCUGGGAUAACUGCGGGAAACUGUAGCUAAUACCGGAUACGACCCUCGGAGGCAUCUCCUGGGGGUGGAAAGAAUUUCGGUCAAGGAUGGACUCGCGGCCUAUCAGCUAGUUGGUGAGGUAAAGGCUCACCAAGGCGACGACGGGUAGCCGGCCUGAGAGGGUGACCGGCCACACUGGGACUGAGACACGGCCCAGACUCCUACGGGAGGCAGCAGUGGGGAAUAUUGCACAAUGGGUACAAGCCUGAUGCAGCGACGCCGCGUGAGGGAUGACGGCCUUCGGGUUGUAAACCUCUUUCAGCAUCGACGAAGCGAAAGUGACGGUAGGUGCAGAAGAAGGACCGGCCAACUACGUGCCAGCCGCCGCAGUAA
This 484-nucleotide ribosomal RNA is filed under the name uncultured bacterium. RNAcentral's name for it is "partial 16S ribosomal RNA". It matches the Rfam family "Bacterial small subunit ribosomal RNA", at positions 28 to 523 of the family's 1533-position model. The record is from RNAcentral.